UUGUACAUAAGCGGUCAUUAAUGCCUUCCCUAAAGAGGUUAGGCGCGUUCCAGACACAUGCAUCGCAUUUAGGUAUUUAUCACGCAUGAUUGUUAAAUCUGAACAAUCUGGCAAGUCAGAUUUAACAAUCAUGUGUAAUGAACACCUAGAUGCGUUGCGUGUGCUGGAACACGCCUAACCUCCUUAGGGAAGGCAUUAAUGAUUGCUUGUGUAACGCAAAACUGUGGUACAGGGGAAAAAAGAACAACUAAUCCACCUAACCGAACACGUAUGUACGUGCUUAUUGACUUGACUAUUUUGCUCACAGUUUGGAUGCUCUUAUCGGAUUCCUGGAUGAAGAAUUACAAAUAUCACAACAACGACCACGACAUUGCUCGUUUACUUUUAUCAGUUUUUAUGCUGUACCGGGAUUCUCUAACUUCUUAACGAUGAUUACGUAUCGAAAUAAUUCAAUAGCUGUGCAAGAUGCCAGAUUUUAUAUAGUGAAAAUUUAGUAAUUUUGGAAUGUUGUGCCUAGUUUUAUGAACACCGAACAAGAAAUUUAACCUUAUCAUCUUUAUUUGAUAAAU
Solenopsis invicta (red fire ant) is the source of this 569-nucleotide long non-coding RNA. RefSeq lists it as uncharacterized. NCBI's taxonomy places the organism in Eukaryota, Metazoa, Arthropoda, Insecta, Hymenoptera, Formicidae. The transcript has 2 exons. The record is from RefSeq and is a predicted model, not a curated record.